Molecule: ribosomal RNA, 440 nt
Filed under: uncultured Methylobacterium sp.
Lineage: Bacteria; Pseudomonadati; Pseudomonadota; Alphaproteobacteria; Hyphomicrobiales; Methylobacteriaceae
Description: bacterial SSU rRNA
Rfam family: Bacterial small subunit ribosomal RNA
Source: RNAcentral
CCUACGGGAGGCUGCAGUGGGGAAUAUUGGACAAUGGGCGCAAGCCUGAUCCAGCCAUGCCGCGUGAGUGAUGAAGGCCUUAGGGUUGUAAAGCUCUUUUGUCCGGGACGAUAAUGACGGUACCGGAAGAAUAAGCCCCGGCUAACUUCGUGCCAGCAGCCGCGGUAAUACGAAGGGGGCUAGCGUUGCUCGGAAUCACUGGGCGUAAAGGGCGCGUAGGCGGCCAUUCAAGUCGGGGGUGAAAGCCUGUGGCUCAACCACAGAAUUGCCUUCGAUACUGUUUGGCUUGAGUUUGGUAGAGGUUGGUGGAACUGCGAGUGUAGAGGUGAAAUUCGUAGAUAUUCGCAAGAACACCAGUGGCGAAGGCGGCCAACUGGACCAACACUGACGCUGAGGCGCGAAAGCGUGGGGAGCAAACAGGAUUAGAUACCCUAGUAGUC